UUACCUCUUGAGCUUCCAUCUGAGUUUAACUUAACAAAAUCUUGCAAAGGUGAGGUGCAUUUGACAAUGAUAACAGAGAAUUAAAAUUUUGCAAAAUGUAAAACAUCACAAAAUUAUUUCCAUUGCAUGAAAGGGGGGAAUUUUAGGGAAUUGUCUGUGAGAAAUCCAAAUUAAUUGUUGAGAGGAAAGAAAAAUUAUACUAUGAUAAUUCAUUCUCUUGUUUUUAAACCUGUUCUUACAUCUCGCUUUCCAGAUCUGCCAAAUAAUGAUGGAUGGCAUGACUUGUAAAGCUAGUUUAAUCACAGGGUUGUGGCUUUUCAUGGUCCACCAUCUAACAAUCAUCUGUCUAAUAUUAGCAGCAUCAAAUCUAACUCCCAUUAUGUUACAGAAAUAAUAUCAGAUCUUCUUGCUAAUAUGACUAUGAAUAAAAAAAUGUUCUUCAGUUUUCUGCUCCAGGCUGGAACAACAUGAGCACAUGGAGGGAAGGUGAAUUCCAAAUCUGAUGAUAUUAACAUCAACAACAACUUUGUUCCUAAGAAGCCUCCAUAGGAAGAAAAAAAUUUUCAAAGGUUCAUGAUUGUGCCAUGUCAUCCUGUUAACUAGUGAG
RNAcentral lists this long non-coding RNA (607 nucleotides) under Nicotiana tabacum (common tobacco). RNAcentral's name for it is "long non-coding RNA (NTAB_LNC019120)". The record is from RNAcentral. Lineage: Eukaryota; Viridiplantae; Streptophyta; Magnoliopsida; Solanales; Solanaceae.